UCCUUCACCCAUAUCAGAAGUGAAAACAUUGCAGACGAGAGAAGUGGCGUUUUGCACAGAACCCAUCCGCGCGGAGUUAGCGAAAGCCAGCCAUCAGUGGGCAGGAAGGGCGAAGGAAAAUAUGUUCUACACCGAUCGGUCCACAUUGUGAAAUUAUUAGUUUCGGUGUAAAAUUGUAAUCAUUGGCAUUAUGCAAGUGUAAGAUGCAUCAUGUUCAGAAGUAACGUGAGCACGAGGGUGAAAAAGUGCAGCAUCACAGUAGGCGAGCCGUGUUUAGUAGCUAGUGAAAAAAUCUCUCCCUCGUCGAAUGAUCUUUUUCUGUUCUACUGCUCCGAAGAGGAAAAAAGAGCCCAUCGCCGCCGUCGCCGUCGUCGGCUCGCAGAAACAGAAGGCAAAGGCAGCAGCAGAAGCAGUACCUCUGCUUCGCUGAAGAAAAUGUAGCCCAUUGGAGGGUGAAAAAAGGCCGAAAAGCGUGAAAAAUUGUAAAAAUUUGUGUAAACAGAUCGGUACAUUGUGAAAUAUGUGUAAUAUUUGUGUGACGAAGGUGCACAAAUUAGUGAACAAUUUGCUGGAUCCUCGCGAGCAGGAAUUCGAGGUGGAAAAAUCAAUACUAAUAUAAAAAUUAACAAUGGCGGCUGUUUAGUUCGGGGAGGAGCUUCAAAACGAAUCCUCAUAGAAAAAAACCUACAUACAACAUGGUGAUAUGAGUAACUUACACAAAUAAUUUAACUGAUAUUAUAGCAAAGAGAUAAGCAGCUAAACAGCUAUCAUAUUCCUAGAAAAGGAAACGACGGACAAAAAAAAAGAAUAUACAACUCAGCAUUAGAGAAAUCGCGAAGAGCUUUUGUUUUCUUCAUUUUUAAAAUGCACAGCAUGUUUAAGCAACACAGUGAAGUUCAACGUAAAGUCGAAAGGAUUAAACUGUUAAACAUUUCGCUAAAGGCGUUUAUUUUCUCUCGCAAUUAUUUUAACAUUCCUGCAUCAUUUUUGUCAUCAACAUCGUUGUCGUCGUCGUCGUCGUCAUCACAACAACAAAAGCACACAAAAGGAUACCAUUUAGUUAGUGCGCUUCCCAGCAGUAGGAGCAAAUCGUUACUGUAUAGGUUGAUUGUUCAAACUUUUUUGGCCUUGUUCUUGGUAACAAAAUGCUGUGACGCAGCCAAGCAAGAUGCUUUACAAAGCAGCACAGGGUGCGCAUUUCCAAAACGUUGGGAGGGACGAUGGUUUCAAUCUGGGGUACAACAGGAAAUUACUAUAGAAGGAUCAACAUUAAGUACUAGAGGAAGAUGUAUCGCUAGUGAGGGAGAUAAAUUUUUAUUAGUGAACGAAAAAGGAUGUCAUCGAUGCGUUGUAAUAUACCAGAAGCAUAUAAACAUACUACAGUAUAAAGAAAGUGAGUGUGAAGAUAUGUAUACAGGCCAGCUGAAUCCAGCUGCAAUGCCUAUUCAUAGUGUUUUAAAAAGUGAUCAUAGUCGGGGGGCUCAUCCCAACGUGAACGGGCAUUCAAGAUUAUCGUCAUCGGAUCCGUAUAUACGAUCCAAUGAAGAUAGCGACAAUUGUAUGGGAUGCAAGGGACGUGAAACGUUGCACUAUCUUUGUGAACAAAUUCCCGGCGAUGCACUACUCUACAGUAUGUUCAAGAUCAACCCAGAGCCCAUCAAAUGUCCGCUGUCGGGGUCGUUUACCUUCACUUACAACCGUGGUCAUGGAGAGUGUAAGAAUCCCGUAUCAAAGAUGGAUAUGUGCACGGAAGACAGCAGAUUACUACUCAACUUUCAGGCAUGUCCUGAUGUGCCCGGAACAGAAAGCACUGUGGAGGAACUAACCUGUCUUGCUUGGUGGAAGGAUGGCAAUUCUCGAUAUCUUGUAGGACUAGUUUCGCACUAUCAUGCCACUUCUAACGAGGAUCGAUUCAGAUGCUUCGUAUAUGAGAAAAUCAGUGGUUCGGGAGCUGCAAACGCUGAUGCUGAGUACAAGUUGGCCCAAUCGGGUGAUGCGACUUGCAAUGGUCUGGAAAGUGCAGAGGUUGGUUCUCGCAUAAUGACUCUGAGAAGAGCUCCUAUGACAGAGCGAUGCGAUUUUCCAGCGUGGUUCAAAGGCCCUCGGCAUUGGCAUGCGUUGAUGGGAAACGCUAACUACAUUUUCCAUUCGAGCGAUGGAUCAUUACACAUCGUGAGACCAAGUGGCUAUAUGGAGGCACGGGCGCUCUGUGAACAAAUCAACAAGCAGACGGCCACCGAAAUGAUGGCCGUCGUUCAUCACACAACUGGAUGCACUUCUGGCUAUAUGUGUGUUAUGUUCUAUAGAAGAGAUACUCACGUAGCGGAGCUACAAAUGGGAACACCCGCAGCUAGACUCGAGGAUGCUUGUACGACCGAUAGCUUCGACGUGCACCGAACUCCUUUUGUUACUUUAUUAGCUAAUAAUCCAGAGACACAAAUAUGUCCGAUGGAGGGAUACUACUCAAUUAAAGGUUUCCUUAUUCCUUCCUCGUCGAUUUCAAGGCACAAAAGAAAUCACAACAACAAAAGCCGGAUGCACCGGCAUAGAGAAGUGGUAAAUUUCCGCAACCAGGAGAACGCGGAUAGCUAUUACUACAACUUGGAGAAGCGGAAAGCAUUCUCGCGCAUGAGGCGAACCGCUGCUACGGCGCAGCAGCCUAGUGAUAAUGUCACACAAGACUUUUACAGUUUAGAAUCUUCACGAACUCGUAGAGAAACGAUGGGAUGUAAUAUUAAUCACAAUACCAACAGACGUUUAUACAUAGGAUGUAAUGAAAACACUGUAAUAGAGGUGAAGCCAAAAUGUAAAAACGACGAGGAUGAAACGUACACCUGUCACGGACACUGGCAGGAAAAUCAGACGACGUUCAUUAUCGCGAAGCAUCUCAGCUCGCAGCAUGGCGUCUGCAUAAGUUACGUGCCAACCGAAGGUAACCAAGUUCAGGUAUACGUGGGAGAUACAUGUCAUCGACCGGGCAUGCAGAACGGUGCUACAACGACCACGACGUCGAUGGGCGGCAGUUCGCUCGCCUCCCAUAAGACUUUGUCGAAUGUUACCGUUAUAGGCAAAUGCGGUGACACCAGUGCAUCGGUCAUGCUACACUACCAUUAUAAUGGCUGGAUGAUUCUUACUGUAUUAUCGAUAUUGCUGUUUAAUUUUACCUUAAGAUGAUCAAAUUGUGAAUUUCAAUAAACGUCGGACAUGUUCUGAUCGUGGAAAACAUGGUUCAUCACAUUACGUGGUUGAAAAACAAAAAGUAAACUUAAGCAGCUGCGGAAGAUAAACGAAAACACACUGACACUGACGCGUCACGAAGAAGCUGAACAUCUCUUUUUUCAUUCAAUUAUUGAUCCCUUAUAAACGAAGAAAUCUUCCUUUCUCGAUCGGUUUCAAUUCAGUGAUGAUUUAGCGUAAGGAAGCAUAUUAUGUAUACAGAGAGACAUGAGUCGAGGGAUGACGAGACGAUGAACCUGGACGCUUGUAAAUUACCAGAGGAUCACAAUAAGAACAUCCGCAUAUUCCUAAGGAAUCUAUUACCCUUGCAUGAACGCAUCCGAAGGGGUAAACCCAUUGUUUGCCAAACCCACGAGUAUCGUCAGUGCAGGCGAAUUAAAACACACACACACACACAAACACAUUUUCAACCUUUUGUCAUACUCCAAACAAAACAAAUAAGCCUUCAUCAAAUGUAAUUGUGAGUUUUCCUGUUUUCCCGUGCCUCCUUCUAUUGGACCUAUACAAUACUCUCAAUGUAAUUGUUUAUUCAUUCUGGUCUUAUCGGAGUUUGGUUUUUCCUCACACUCAUGCAUAUUGUCAGCACCACUCUUGCUCGUGUAUAUUAUAAUGAAACCAUACACACAAUGCAGAGCGAAAAUAAGGAAAGAAAACCUAAACAAAAUAUUGCGGAUAAUAAAAUCAACGAAUCACAUUGCGCUUACGGUACUCCGAGAAGAAUAUGAAAAAAAAUUGUGGAGAAAAGAAUAUGAAGAAGCAGAAGAACUGUAUAAAGAAUAUUAAAAUCAUCCGUUUUUCCUUAAAUUAUGUAUUCACGGUUUCCUAAAUGAGAGAAUACAAGUGGUGAGGGAUGUGCAGAACUGAGCUAAGAAAAACAUUUACGAAAAUUUGGUUAAUUUGGGAGAGAGAGAUAGAGGAACAUACGAGCGAACGAGAUACAGAGUAAUGAACAAGAAGUAAGAAAGCGUUGCAUAUAGCGGUUGGUUAUAAUGUCUAAAACAAAAACGAAUGUGUUGGUAAAAAAACUGAAGUUUUUAAGGAAAAGGACUACAAGCAAGUAUUCUAGGCUUUUUAAAUUAAAUCAUCAACAGUAUAAAGAUUUGAUAUUUUUUGUGUAAGUACUUAAACCAAAAAAUAAAGCGCAUUAUG
Molecule: RNA transcript, 4386 nt
Organism: Toxorhynchites rutilus septentrionalis
Lineage: Eukaryota; Metazoa; Arthropoda; Insecta; Diptera; Culicidae
Exons: 15
Source: RefSeq, a predicted model, not a curated record